RNAcentral lists this non-coding RNA (55 nucleotides) under Pteridomonas danica. Lineage: Eukaryota; Dictyochophyceae; Pedinellales. The record is from RNAcentral.
UUUUUUUUUUAAUUCUUUUUUUUUUUGUGACUUUUUUUUUUUUUUUUUUCUACUA